This 559-nucleotide ribosomal RNA is filed under the name uncultured bacterium. RNAcentral's name for it is "bacterial SSU rRNA". It matches the Rfam family "Bacterial small subunit ribosomal RNA", at positions 28 to 623 of the family's 1533-position model. The record is from RNAcentral.
GAUGAACGCUGGCGGCACGCCUAACACAUGCAAGUCGAACGAGAAGCUACCUUCGGGUAGUGGACAGUGGCGGACGGGUGAGUAACACGUGGGAAUAUGCCUUUCGGUAGAGAACAACGCUUGGAAACGAGUGCUAAUACUCUAUACGCCCUCAGGGGGAAAGAUUUAUCGCCGAGAGAUUGGCCCGCGUUAAAUUAGCUAGUUGGUGAGGUAAUGGCUCACCAAGGCGACGAUCUAUAGCUGGUUUGAGAGGAUGAUCAGCCACACUGGGACUGAGACACGACCCAGACUCCUACGGGAGGCAGCAGUGAGGAAUAUUGGACAAUGGGGGAAACCCUGAUCCAGCGAUGCCGCGUGAGUGAAGAAGGCCUUAGGGUUGUAAAACUCUUUCAGGGGUGAAGAUAAUGACGGUAACCCCAGAAGAAGCUCCGGCUAACUCCGUGCCAGCAGCCGCGGUAAUACGGAGGGAGCUAGCGUUGUUCGGAAUUACUGGGCGUAAAGCGCGCGUAGGCGGCUUGGUAAGUAGAGGGGUGAAUCCCAGAGCUCAACUCUGGAACUG